Molecule: ribosomal RNA, 253 nt
Filed under: uncultured bacterium
Lineage: Bacteria
Description: partial 16S ribosomal RNA
Rfam family: Bacterial small subunit ribosomal RNA
Source: RNAcentral
GACAGAGGGUGCAAACGUUGUUCGGAUUUACUGGGCGUAAAGCGCGUGUAGGCGGCUUGGCAAGUCGGAUGUGAAAGCCCACGGCUCAACCGUGGAAGCGCAUCCGAAACUGCUGAGCUUGAGUACUUAAGAGGAUCGCGGAAUUCCCGGUGUAGAGGUGAAAUUCGUAGAUAUCGGGAGGAACACCAGUGGCGAAGGCGGCGAUCUGGGAAGAUACUGACGCUGAGGUGCGAAAGCGUGGGGAGCAAACAGG